Molecule: ribosomal RNA, 235 nt
Filed under: uncultured bacterium
Lineage: Bacteria
Description: partial 16S ribosomal RNA
Rfam family: Bacterial small subunit ribosomal RNA
Source: RNAcentral
UGAGCAAUCUGCCCUUCUCAUCGGAAUAAGCGUUGGAAACGACGUCUAAUGCCGAAUACGACCUCCUUUCGCAUGACCGGAGGUGGAAAGCUCCGGCGGAGAAGGAUGAGCUCGCGGCCUAUCAGCUAGUUGGUGUGGGUAAUGGCCCACCAAGGCGACGACGGGUAGCCGGCCUGAGAGGGUGACCCGGCCACACUGGGACUGAGACACGGCCCAGACUCCGUAGGGAGCAGCG